GAUACCCUGGUAGUGCACGCCGUAAACGAUGUCUACUUGGAGGUUGUGGCCUUGAGCCGUGGCUUUCGGAGCUAACGCGUUAAGUAGACCGCCUGGGGAGUACGGUCGCAAGAUUAAAACUCAAAUGAAUUGACGGGGGCCCGCACAAGCGGUGGAGCAUGUGGUUUAAUUCGAUGCAACGCGAAGAACCUUACCUACUCUUGACAUCCAGAGAACUUUCCAGAGAUGGAUUGGUGCCUUCGGGAACUCUGAGACAGGUGCUGCAUGGCUGUCGUCAGCUCGUGUUGUGAAAUGUUGGGUUAAGUCCCGCAACGAGCGCAACCCUUAUCCUUGUUUGCCAGCGAGUAAUGUCGGGAACUCCAGGGAGACUGCCGGUGAUAAACCGGAGGAAGGUGGGGACGACGUCAAGUCAUCAUGGCCCUUACGAGUAGGGCUACACACGUGCUACAAUGGCGCAUACAGAGGGCGGCCAACUUGCGAAAGUGAGCGAAUCCCAAAAAGUGCGUCGUAGUCCGGAUUGGAGUCUGCAACUCGACUCCAUGAAGUCGGAAUCGCUAGUAAUCGUGGAUCAGAAUGCCACGGUGAAUACGUUCCCGGGCCUUGUACACACCGCCCGUCACACCAUGGGAGUGGGCUGCAAAAGAAGUAGGUAGUUAACCUCGGGGGACGCUACCACCUUG
Molecule: ribosomal RNA, 680 nt
Filed under: uncultured Gammaproteobacteria bacterium
Lineage: Bacteria; Pseudomonadati; Pseudomonadota; Gammaproteobacteria
Description: bacterial SSU rRNA
Rfam family: Bacterial small subunit ribosomal RNA
Source: RNAcentral